RNAcentral lists this ribosomal RNA (465 nucleotides) under uncultured bacterium. Its description in RNAcentral is "partial 16S ribosomal RNA". It matches the Rfam family "Bacterial small subunit ribosomal RNA", at positions 338 to 795 of the family's 1533-position model. The record is from RNAcentral.
CCUACGGGUGGCAGCAGUGGGGAAUAUUGCGCAAUGGGCGAAAGCCUGACGCAGCGACGCCGCGUGAGGGAUGAAGGUCUUCGGAUCGUAAACCUCUGUCAGCAGGGAAGAACGGUCACUGUGCUAAUCAGCAGUGAAUUGACGGUACCUGCAAAGGAAGCACCGGCUAACUCCGUGCCAGCAGCCGCGGUAAUACGGAGGGUGCGAGCGUUAAUCGGAAUUACUGGGCGUAAAGCUCUCGUAGGCGGUAUGUCAAGUCAAGGGUGAAAUCCCCGCGCUCAACGUGGGAACUGCCUUUGAAACUGGCAAACUGGAGUGUGGGUGAGGAUAGUGGAAUUCCAGGUGUAGGAGUGAAAUGCGUAGAUAUCUGGAGGAACAUCAGUGGCGAAGGCGACUAUCUGGCACAUAACUGACGCUGAGGAGCGAAAGCGUGGGUAGCAAACAGGAUUAGAUACCCUAGUAGUC